Fukomys damarensis (Damara mole-rat) is the source of this 156-nucleotide long non-coding RNA. RefSeq lists it as uncharacterized. The record is from RefSeq and is a predicted model, not a curated record. The transcript has 2 exons. Lineage: Eukaryota; Metazoa; Chordata; Mammalia; Rodentia; Bathyergidae.
GGCGGGGGAGGGGAGAGGCCUGAUCUCCCGAAGAAAAGAAUGCCUUUUAAAAUUUCAUCUGGCCCGAAGUCAGCCAAGGAGCUGAAUGUACUGGUAAAAGAAAGCGUGCACUUGUCUUCAAAAAGCAGAACAACAGCACUCGAAGAUAUUAGAGGG